RNAcentral lists this ribosomal RNA (587 nucleotides) under Escherichia coli. RNAcentral describes it as "bacterial SSU rRNA". It matches the Rfam family "Bacterial small subunit ribosomal RNA", at positions 945 to 1532 of the family's 1533-position model. The record is from RNAcentral. Lineage: Bacteria; Pseudomonadati; Pseudomonadota; Gammaproteobacteria; Enterobacterales; Enterobacteriaceae.
UUUAAUUCGAUGCAACGCGAAGAACCUUACCUGGUCUUGACAUCCACGGAAGUUUUCAGAGAUGAGAAUGUGCCUUCGGGAACCGUGAGACAGGUGCUGCAUGGCUGUCGUCAGCUCGUGUUGUGAAAUGUUGGGUUAAGUCCCGCAACGAGCGCAACCCUUAUCCUUUGUUGCCAGCGGUCCGGCCGGGAACUCAAAGGAGACUGCCAGUGAUAAACUGGAGGAAGGUGGGGAUGACGUCAAGUCAUCAUGGCCCUUACGACCAGGGCUACACACGUGCUACAAUGGCGCAUACAAAGAGAAGCGACCUCGCGAGAGCAAGCGGACCUCAUAAAGUGCGUCGUAGUCCGGAUUGGAGUCUGCAACUCGACUCCAUGAAGUCGGAAUCGCUAGUAAUCGUGGAUCAGAAUGCCACGGUGAAUACGUUCCCGGGCCUUGUACACACCGCCCGUCACACCAUGGGAGUGGGUUGCAAAAGAAGUAGGUAGCUUAACCUUCGGGAGGGCGCUUACCACUUUGUGAUUCAUGACUGGGGUGAAGUCGUAACAAGGUAACCGUAGGGGAACCUGCGGUUGGAUCACCUCCUU